GACGAACGCUGGCGGCGUGCUUAACACAUGCAAGUCGAACGGAAAGGCCCUGCGUUUGUGGGGUGCUCGAUUGGCGAACGGGUGAGUAACACGUGAGUAACCUGCCCUUGACUUUGUGAUAACUUCAGGAAACUGGGGCUAAUACCGGAGAGGAUCUCCUGCUGCAUGGUGGUGGUUGGAAAGUGUCGGCGGUUGGGGCUGGACUCGCGGCUUAUCAGCUUGUUGGUGGGGUAGGGGCUGACCAAGGCUUUGACGGGUAGCCGGCCUGAGAGGGGGACCGGCCACAUUGGGACUGAGAUACGGAGCAGACUCCUACGGGAGGCAGCAGUGGGGAAUCUUGCACAAUGGGGGGAAGCCUGAUGCAGCAACGCCGCGUGCGGGAUGACGGCUUUCGGGUUGUAAACCGAUUUCGCAUGUGACGAAGCGUGAGUGACGGUAAUGGGUAAAGAAGCACCGGCUAACUACGUG
This 468-nucleotide ribosomal RNA is filed under the name uncultured bacterium. RNAcentral's name for it is "partial 16S ribosomal RNA". It matches the Rfam family "Bacterial small subunit ribosomal RNA", at positions 28 to 507 of the family's 1533-position model. The record is from RNAcentral.